RNAcentral lists this ribosomal RNA (594 nucleotides) under Idiomarina loihiensis. Its description in RNAcentral is "bacterial SSU rRNA". It matches the Rfam family "Bacterial small subunit ribosomal RNA", at positions 787 to 1380 of the family's 1533-position model. The record is from RNAcentral. Lineage: Bacteria; Pseudomonadati; Pseudomonadota; Gammaproteobacteria; Alteromonadales; Idiomarinaceae.
CUGGUAGUCCACGCCGUAAACGAUGUCAACUAGUUGUUCGUGUCAUUAAGACGUGAGUAACGCAGCUAACGCACUAAGUUGACCGCCUGGGGAGUACGGCCGCAAGGUUAAAACUCAAAUGAAUUGACGGGGGCCCGCACAAGCGGUGGAGCAUGUGGUUUAAUUCGAUGCAACGCGAAGAACCUUACCAUCCCUUGACAUCCAGUGAAUUUUCCAGAGAUGGAUUAGUGCCUUCGGGAACACUGAGACAGGUGCUGCAUGGCUGUCGUCAGCUCGUGUUGUGAGAUGUUGGGUUAAGUCCCGCAACGAGCGCAACCCUUAUCCUUAGUUGCCAGCACGUAAUGGUGGGAACUCUGGGGAGACUGCCGGUGAUAAACCGGAGGAAGGUGGGGACGACGUCAAGUCAUCAUGGCCCUUACGGGAUGGGCUACACACGUGCUACAAUGGCGCAUACAAAGGGCAGCAAGCCAGCGAUGGUUAGCGAAUCUCAUAAAGUGCGUCGUAGUCCGGAUCGGAGUCUGCAACUCGACUCCGUGAAGUCGGAAUCGCUAGUAAUCGUGGAUCAGAAUGCCACGGUGAAUACGUUCCCGGGCC